Ixodes scapularis (black-legged tick) is the source of this 2443-nucleotide RNA transcript. RefSeq lists it as uncharacterized. The record is from RefSeq and is a predicted model, not a curated record. NCBI's taxonomy places the organism in Eukaryota, Metazoa, Arthropoda, Arachnida, Ixodida, Ixodidae. The transcript has 4 exons.
AUGAGACUGUCACUGCGACAGUCUCGUGCAGUGUCGGUAAGAAUUCAGCGACUGGAGGGAGGCUAAGGAUGGCAGAGAGCAUGUUCGCUUCAUUCUCCACGACGGACCCAAGGGACGAGAUGAGGGUGUCCUGAAAAGGUAUUACUACUGCCACCGCUCUGGAUCAUUUCAGAGCAAGAGGUAAAUGACAACUGAGAACCCAGGGCACUUGUAAGACUAAUGUGCAAUGCUUAGCCACAAUUCAAGCUACAGAGAAAGAUGGCAAGGUGACAGUAGAGUACCAGGCAGAACACUACGGCCACCCGAAGGAACUGAAGCACCAGCGCCUCUUUACGACUGAGAAGGAGGCUUUAGCUGAUAAACUAAAGCAAGGCAUCCCCGCCCGUAAAGAUCUGGUAGACGCACAUUCUUCUGCUGGCAGUGAGAUGGGCAGGCUACAUUUGCUCUCAAUGAAAGACAUUGGCAACAUCUCCGCCAACCAUGAAAUUUUGACGAAAGAGCUACGGCACUGAACAAAGUCAGAUUCCCCAGUCCUGUACUGACAUGGAGGAAGGAAAACAAAAAGAGAGCUUUGAGCUUGCCCUGAUGACUGUCCCUCAGAAAGAACGCCUCACAAAGCUUGGCCCCAAGUUUCUGUGCAUUGACUACACUCAUAAUAUAAAUGGCCACAAUCUGCAACUGAAGACUCAUGACAGCUGCAGAAGAUCAGUCAGGCAUGCCAUGCACAUAUUUGAUCUCAAAGUAACUAGACACCAAGGCUAUGAAACACUCCUUAAGGCCAUAAAGGUAAUGCAUGGGAGGAAGUGAUGGGCUGUGCCCAACAUUGGAUGCUCUGCUCGUGGCAUGUAAGCCACGACUGGGCUCUGAAGUUGCAGUCAGUCCAAGAUAUAAGCAAACCCGUGACCGUCUUUGCGACGAGUUGUGGGCGCUGAGAAAUUGCAAAGAUGAGGGUCAAUUCCAACGACCUCCGACAGGCUUCCCGUGUCAGAAACUAAGUGAAGAGGCUGAUCCAAAACUAAUUCAACAAGUACAGGAGUUUCUUCAGUACUUUGGGCACUACCAUGGUGGCAGAGCCUAACAGUGGGCGCUCUGCUUCAGAAAGGGCAUUCCUUUUAAUACUACCAACCACUUGGAGGCAAUGUACAAGGACCUGAAGUCACGCUAAUGCAUGGAACUCACAACCAGAGGCUUGACAAGCUGUUGAUGAUCCUCUUCGAACUGAGCCGUGACCGGCUCUACAAGCGUCCCAAGUCGCUCGUAAAAGGAAAAACGAAUCGGCAUGAUGCAGCCCUUUUUCGGAGGCACCAGGAGGGGAUGAAAAUUCCAGCAUCAGAUGUAGAACAGCUGCAAAAUGGCAAUGGCUGACUUGUAAAGUCUCAGUCCCAGACAGAGAGAAGCUACCAUGUUGAGAAGGGCGACCCCCGCCAGAGUUGCGUGCUUCGUUGCAGGGACUGUGAUAUCUUUAUCGACAGUUACAAGUGCACUUGCAAUGACAGCCUGAUUUCAUCAUCAAUGUGCAAGCAUAUUCACGCAGUAGCUUACCUGGGGAUUCAUGUGACGACCGUGGAGGAGGCCGACACUGAGCCAGGUGUAGAAAUGCCAUCAACAACACGUGAAGCAACAGGCUUUACGUUAGAUGAUGAGCCACAGUCCCUCUUGGAUGACAUUCGGCAGGGUAUUGAGGUAGGGAUGGAGAAGACUCAACCAAAUUCAAAGGACAACAUAUGUUUAACAAUAAGUGGACUGAACAAGUCCCUCUCCAGGAAGAAAUUGACAAGCUCUUCAAGCUCCCUGGUGUUGAAAUACCGUACCAAGGCCCAAGAAGUACUUGACUCUGUUCCAGAUGAGACUUCUCCAAAACCUAGGGUAAUCCCUCACAAAAAAAAGAUGGAAAAACAACCACGGUACUUUCCCCCCCAAAAGACGCCCUGGUUCUGGUCCCAUGCAUGGCAAACCUCCCACCAGCUUGGAGCAGCAGCACAUCAUGCAGGGCCUUGUAGCCAGAGGGAGUGACCACUGGCGACCACAAGCAUGAGGAUCUGCUACAGGAAGCAUAAUCAUGUACCUGGACCUCGAGACCGGUGGCCUUGGAGAUGUCAGCAAGGCUACGGGGUGAUUUGCUCAACGCGAGGCUGUGCAAUUUAGUGGCAUGGAACUAGUGCCUCAUUUCGGAGAUCUCCAUGGCGAGUGAACAGUGUAAGGCUGGUGGGGCAAGAAGUUUAUUGGAAGGUUUUGUCAUGCCAUGGUGAUCAACAUUCAUGACAGGUUCAUCUGCCGAACUAGCUAUGCAAUAGAGGCAAGCCUGCUAAGUCACUGGGAUUAGUCGUCAGUGUGUGGCGCAGAGGACUUCUAGGGACAAGUCCAGGAGACGAACAUGCAAUAUUUAUAUUCUGUCUAUAUUUUGGUGAACCAAUGUUACUGUUGACAUUUAAGUGUGGGACAU